GGGCAUAAAGGGUGUGCAGACGGUUUAUUAAGUUGCUUGUUUAAUUCUUCGGCCUAACCGAAGGCUCGCAAGCAAAACUGGUAGACUUGAGGAUGGAAGAGAGAAGUGGAAUUCUCGGAGUAGCGGUAAAAUGCGUAGAUCUCGAGAGGAACACCAAUGGCGAAGGCAGCUUCUUGGUCCAUUCCUGACGUUCAUACACGAAAGCGUGGGGAGCAAACAGGAUUAGAUACCCUGGUAGUCCACGCCGUAAACGAUGAUCACUAGACGUCAGUUUCGUUAACGAAUUGGUGUCGUAGCUAACGCGUUAAGUGAUCCGCCUGGGGACUACGGUCGCAAGACUAAAACU
RNAcentral lists this ribosomal RNA (346 nucleotides) under uncultured bacterium. RNAcentral describes it as "bacterial SSU rRNA". It matches the Rfam family "Bacterial small subunit ribosomal RNA", at positions 556 to 901 of the family's 1533-position model. The record is from RNAcentral.